RNAcentral lists this unclassified non-coding RNA (393 nucleotides) under Tetrahymena thermophila. RNAcentral's name for it is "Group I intron from Tetrahymena thermophila (PDB 7R6N, chain A)". The stretch from base 7 to 315 matches the Rfam family "Group I catalytic intron". From Rfam's summary of the family: Group I catalytic introns are large self-splicing ribozymes. They catalyse their own excision from mRNA, tRNA and rRNA precursors in a wide range of organisms. Lineage: Eukaryota; Ciliophora; Oligohymenophorea; Hymenostomatida; Tetrahymenidae. The record is from RNAcentral.
UGGAGGGAAAAGUUAUCAGGCAUGCACCUGGUAGCUAGUCUUUAAACCAAUAGAUUGCAUCGGUUUAAAAGGCAAGACCGUCAAAUUGCGGGAAAGGGGUCAACAGCCGUUCAGUACCAAGUCUCAGGGGAAACUUUGAGAUGGCCUUGCAAAGGGUAUGGUAAUAAGCUGACGGACAUGGUCCUAACCACGCAGCCAAGUCCUAAGUCAACAGGAUGGUUCUGUUGAUAUGGAUGCAGUUCACAGACUAAAUGUCGGUCGGGGAAGAUGUAUUCUUCUCAUAAGAUAUAGUCGGACCUCUCCUUAAUGGGAGCUAGCGGAUGAAGUGAUGCAACACUGGAGCCGCUGGGAACUAAUCAGUGAACCAUCCACUGAUUAGUUUUGGAGUACUCG